RNAcentral lists this non-coding RNA (172 nucleotides) under Paraburkholderia silvatlantica. The record is from RNAcentral. Lineage: Bacteria; Pseudomonadati; Pseudomonadota; Betaproteobacteria; Burkholderiales; Burkholderiaceae.
UCGCGGGCGACUGCGAGUCUGAAGGAAGUCCGAGGCAAAGCGCUGGCCUGACGAACAGGAAGCGGAUAUGAGGCGACGCGUUGGGACGAGGCAGCGAAAAAGGCCAAAUCCAGUACUUGCACGGAACGACGCGGCGUAAAUCCGACGGGCAUAAGCGUGAAGGUGGGUGCGU